CGGGGCGUAGCGCAGCCUGGUAGCGCACUUGCAUGGGGCGCAAGAGGCCGGAGGUUCAAAUCCUCUCGCCCCGACCA
RNAcentral lists this transfer RNA (77 nucleotides) under Acidiferrobacterales bacterium. RNAcentral's name for it is "tRNA-Pro". It matches the Rfam family "tRNA". From Rfam's summary of the family: Transfer RNA (tRNA) molecules are approximately 80 nucleotides in length. Their secondary structure includes four short double-helical elements and three loops (D, anti-codon, and T loops). Further hydrogen bonds mediate the characteristic L-shaped molecular structure. tRNAs have two regions of fundamental functional importance: the anti-codon, which is responsible for specific mRNA codon recognition, and the 3' end, to which the tRNAs corresponding amino acid is attached (by aminoacyl-tRNA synthetases). tRNAs cope with the degeneracy of the genetic code in two manners: having more than one tRNA (with a specific anti-codon) for a particular amino acid; and 'wobble' base-pairing, i.e. permitting non-standard base-pairing at the 3rd anti-codon position. The record is from RNAcentral. RNAcentral also lists the same sequence under 1 other name. Lineage: Bacteria; Pseudomonadati; Pseudomonadota; Gammaproteobacteria; Acidiferrobacterales.